Molecule: non-coding RNA, 3541 nt
Organism: Triticum urartu
Lineage: Eukaryota; Viridiplantae; Streptophyta; Magnoliopsida; Poales; Poaceae
Source: RefSeq, a predicted model, not a curated record
CCACCCACCUCCCGAGUCCCCAGUCCCAUCCACCCCUGCCUCGCCGCCGCCCCAUGCCCCGCCGCCUCGCGCCGCCCACGGCCACCCCAGUCCCCCACCGCGGCGUCAUCCUCGUCCCCCACCGCGGCGCCACUCCUCUACACCGACGCGCCGCCGCCACUCUCCCCAGAUGCGCCGCCGCGCCGCCCCUCUCCCCCGACGCGCCGCCCCUCUCCCCAGAUGCACCGCCGCGCCGCCCCUCUCCCCUGACGCGCCGCCCCUCUCCCCGAGCUCGCCGGCCAUCCCUUCCCCCCACUCUUUCCCAAAAGAGUCCGCCUCCCGAGCUCUGCCAUGCGCGGCUGCGCCUGCUCCACUGUCCAGGUGACACCGGUCGACGCCCCAACCGCGUGCCGCCAUAUACUGCUGCUCCUUCCCAUGAGCCACCUCGCCUUCUCCUCCGUGGAUAAGUUCGCCACGAGCGAGGACUCUGGAUCGAGCCGGCCGACGCCAACCUGCUGGCGUGCUACCCCCGCCCCAGCCAUCUCGUCCACCACGGUGCACCGCUGCCUAUUCUGGCCAUGGGCAAGCACAAGCGCCACCCGUGUGGAUGUGUAGCAAGUUCAAGUACCGGUCUACGCGAAGUGUAUCACUCCAGCACGCCAUGCUCCAGUGCAUGUCGACGUCAUCUCCGCUGCAAUGGAAGCUGCAGAUUUUACUCCACUCUACUUACCUUGCGAGUACUGAUCAGUACAACUUACACAAUAUUAGUACCGAUCAGUGCAUGUCGACGACAAGUAGCAGUACUGAUCAGUACAACUUACACAAUAUUAGUACCGAUCAGUACUAUUCUUAAUGCUAAAAGUAACAUCCAUAUAGUACUGAUGAGUCGUACUGACAAGGAUGCCGUCUACAAUUCUGAACUUAUUGUUGAGUCGUACUAGUACUGAUGAAAUGGGAAGCAAAUGUCACAUGAAUCCUUAAUUGAAUAGGAAGCAAGGUUGCAAUGAGAUCCUGGAAAUUCACUAUUUAUUUUAUCCUCAGUUCUUAGAAAAGCAUGGAAACAAUUCUCUCUGUGUUAGGGUAUCAGUUCAUGUGGAGAAGAACAUGUUUCCUAUAUGAAAAAAUAAUAUAUUAUUAUCAGUUCAAUGUGUAUUUUGUCAUUAGUUCAUACAGAACAACCGUAAAAAAUAUUUUGAUGUGUGUUAGAGAGAGCUCGACUUCAUAUUAUAUGGUAGCUCACUCAUUGCAUGAUUGCACAGCAGUUUGGCAACAAAAUUCACAUCAGCUUAGGGGCGCCCGCAUCACGGUCUCACCGUGCUACCGCAAUCUCUCCUUGAUACGCCACCGUACGAGCAACUUUGGCAAGCUGUCACUUCUUGCUCCUGUGCCUGGAUCCCAUGUGAGCGCCCCUGGAAUCAGAUGGGAGGAGAACCGUCCAAAGUGCGAGUUUUGUGAGGUCGACGUGCGAGCCAGUCUAACCAGCGCAUCUGAAGCAACAUAUGCAGAGUGAUUCGCCCAAAGCAGCCAGGGGUAUACACGGUUGUUGGGAGCCGUCCAAGUUGAGCUCUGGCUGCAGUCCAAGUGGGACUGCGACCACCAUCUAAUCAAAAUUGCUACUAUGUGUUUCUAAUUGAACCGCCGCCCCGAGAAUCCCCGCUGAGCUCGUCCGCAUCCCCGGCCCUCUUCGGGGCCACCCAGGUCUACAUCGCAGGGCCGCUAUGUUCUCUUUACCGCCAUCCAGGUCCGACGAGCCGCCGCACGCAGGAUCCCAUGCGUGCUAGCCUUGGUGCUGGCCCUGCGCGAUAGCACGGCAUCAUUCACUGCCGCCACCAUGGGCCGUUCAAUGACACAGCGUCAAGUCGUUCGACGCCGCAGCUCAGGAGUUUGCCUCCUUUCCCAACCUCCACUAUGCUGGUCUCUCCUGUUCUCCUCUCUUCACUAACCUCUCUCGCUUCUUUCGCUUGAAUUCCUGCUAAUGUUGGCUGUAGCUUGAAUUCCACCAGGGGUGCUGGCAGCCGUCCAAGUGGAGCGUUGACGCCAGUACAAGUAGAAUCGUGGUUUGCGGCCACCAUCUUCACCAAGCACCGCACAUCCGUCCAAGUCGAGCACACACACAGGGAGAACACACCAGCCCCUCUGCUUUGCACAUUGCUUGGUUAUGCAUGACUGCUGAUGGAUGCAACAAAGCGUUUAUAUUAGUUUGAUCUUGUGCAAGACUCAAUUUUGUCUCGGUUUUCGUGGAUGCUAGCUGGCAAUACGUCCAACAUUCUUGCGGCGAUAGCGGCCACCACUAAGGGCAUUUGCGUCCAGCACUCGAGCUACAUGCUCGACGGUUGCACACUGCCGCCAUGGGCAUGCACAAAGAUAUUAAGUAGAUGUUUGUUAGUUCAGUUUUUUAUUGAUUUACCUUGUUUAAGUAGUAGUGCAACAAUAAAAGGUGUCGUUGUACUGAAGUUUUAGUUGCUAUAUGAGGAACCCAGAGGCCAUUUAUUUUGGUUUUCAGUUCAACUUGUCUGUUCUUUUCGGUCCGGAUGCUUUAUUGCGCAUAAUCUUGAGGAAAUCCCCAAAAGUCAUAUGUCUCAUGUGAAUCUUGUUCAGUUCAUUAGUUCGUCGGAAAAAUAUAUCAUCUACAAAAAGAAUUGCAUUCUGGUAAUGUGAAGUAUGUUGUAGUCUAUACCUGUAGAGUGCAUUUUUGUAGUGCUGGUAUUCGUGGUCACUCUUUUGUGUUAGAAACAAUGGAUAUAUAUUUAUAUUUUGUAGUGUCAGUACUUGAGAACAAAAGGUUCAGUUUUCAUACUUUAAACAGUUCAUCGCAAGCUUUCGGUGUAGCAAGACGCGCGCCAAUGUGUGUGUGCACUUGAUGCAACUCUAUUGCAGUAUAUGAAGUUCAUACGAUUUUCAUGCAUCAACAAUCUGAUAGAGAGCACCAUUCUUUUCUGAAUUUUGUAUUUAAGAAAUAUCACCCUUUCUAUAUUUUGAACACUAGCUAGUGCUUUCUUUUCUUGUUAUAGUCAAAAAGUAGUACAGGUAUCUAGUUAUGGUGAUAGUGAUACUAACCAGACCAAGCUACUUCAAUUGUUUUACCAAAAUCUAGAAAUUCUCCAUAUACGGCAAGAGCCAACCGGACAUCUUUGUCUAGCCUGACUUGGGACGGCUUCUUUGCAACUGCAGGUUAGAAAGUUCAACAUGUGAUUGGAAUUCAGUGCGAAAAACUGCAGGUGCAAGAUGGCGGCUGCCGACGUCGCUAAAUCCCUCUACAAACUAGUGGUUGGCUGUUCCCAGCGGUAAAUGUGAUCGGAUUCAGCAGCUAGCUCUUCCUCGAGCAACCAUUUGGAGAACUUUAUUGUCUUGUGGUGGUGAUUGAUUUUAGGAUCAGUAAAUUUGACGUUGGUAGCUAGAUGAAACCUGCAAGUUCAAUAUUGGUAUUAGAUUCAGUUCUUGUUGUACAAAUGUCCCAAUGUUCACAUUUAUUUGGGUAAAAGUUUAUUUUAGUUCAGCAACAGAAACCAUGCAGGUUCAGUGAUGAUGAUACCAUAAGUUCGGACAAGAAAAUUUAUGUAUA